Molecule: ribosomal RNA, 612 nt
Filed under: Triticum aestivum (bread wheat)
Lineage: Eukaryota; Viridiplantae; Streptophyta; Magnoliopsida; Poales; Poaceae
Description: partial small subunit ribosomal RNA
Source: RNAcentral
AUGUGGGCCACCCCUUUCACGGACGUGUGUGGGCUUAUUGGGCAUCAUGAAGGACUGGUCAUACACACGGACUCUUGCAAAGGUUUAGAGAUAACAAUAGAACAAGUGUGGCCUGAAGUGGAGCAUAGGGAGUAUAUGAGGCAUCUUGUUGCAAAUUUUGGAAAAAAAAUCCACGGGCAGAUGAUAAUGGAGAAGUUUGAUCUAUGGAUGAGGAUAGCAUUAGAAAAAUGGAUUGGCCAUCUCAUAAUACGAAGUGCGAUAAAGGCACUACAUGCCAAAUCCAAAGGGCUGAAGAUGAAGGUAGUUAGACGAAGUGAUGUUCAGGCAGAAAUUACUCUAGUGGACAAAGAGAAUAGGGAAUGGAUGUACCUUGUUUACAUAGAAAAGGAAACAUGUUGUUGCAGGCAAUGGCAGGUCAAGGGGUUGCCAUGGCACUCAGAUGGUGGCCCCGGGGGGGCAGCCGUCGAUGCCUAUGUGCCCUGCAUGAUUACACUCCUCGGGCCAGCAUGGGACGGCGGGACGCUGGAAGCAGGAGUUUUCCACGAGUCGCUUGAAGGCUCCGCCGCCCCCUUCAGCAACGACGACGAGGUGCAUCAGGCCGACUGGGCCUAG